CAAUAGCGUAUAUUAAAGUUGUUGCAGUUAAAAAGCUCGUAGUUGGAUCUUGGACCUGGACAGGCGGUCCGCCUCACGGCGAGUACUGUCUUGCUGGGUCUUUCCUCUUGGUGAUCUGUUGUUUCGGCAGCAGGGAACCAGGACCUUUACUUUGAAAAAAUUAGAGUGUUCAAAGCAGGCUCGACGCCGGAAUAUAUUAGCAUGGAAUAAUAAAAUAGGACGUGCGGUUCUAUUUUGUUGGUUUUUGGAAUCGCCGUAAUGAUUAAUAGGGACAGUCGGGGGCAUUAGUACUCACAUGCUAGAGGUGAAAUUCUUGGAUUUUGUGAAGACUAACUUCUGCGAAAGCAUUUGCCAAGGAUGUUUUCAUUAA
This 370-nucleotide ribosomal RNA is filed under the name uncultured eukaryote. RNAcentral describes it as "partial 18S ribosomal RNA". It matches the Rfam family "Eukaryotic small subunit ribosomal RNA", at positions 592 to 976 of the family's 1831-position model. The record is from RNAcentral.